RNAcentral lists this unclassified non-coding RNA (406 nucleotides) under soil metagenome. RNAcentral describes it as "partial contains 5.8S ribosomal RNA, internal transcribed spacer 2, and large subunit ribosomal RNA". The stretch from base 1 to 121 matches the Rfam family "5.8S ribosomal RNA", at positions 35 to 154 of the family's 154-position model. The record is from RNAcentral.
GAUGAAGAACGUAGCGAAAUGCGAUAAGUAAUGUGAAUUGCAGAAUUCAGUGAAUCAUCGAAUCUUUGAACGCACCUUGCGCCCUUUGGCCAUUCCGAAGGGCAUGCCUGUUUGAGUAUCAUGAACACCUCAACUCUUCAUGGUUUUCCAUGAUGAGCUUGGACUUUGGGGGUCUUGCUGGCCUGUGGGUCGGCUCCUCUCAAAUGAAUCAGCUUGCCGGUUUUUGGUGGGCAUCACAGGUGUGAUAACUAUCUACGCUUGUGGUUUUCCACCAGGGUAACCUUCAGCAGUGGAGGUUCACUGGAGCUUACAAAUGUCUCUCCUCAGUGAGGACAGCCCUUUGAAUGUUUGAUCUCAAAUCAGGUAGGACUACCCGCUGAACUUAAGCAUAUCAAUAAGCGGAGGA